CAUCAAUGCUGAAAGGUACAUCCAGGUUUUGGAGCAACACAUGCUGCCAUCCAAGCAAUGUCUUUUUUAGGGACGUCCCUGCUUAUUUCAGCAAGACAAUGCCAAGCCACAUUCUGCUUGUGAGUAAACAGCGUGGCUUCGUAGUAAAAGAGUGUGGGUACUAGACUGGGCUGCCUGCAGUCCAGACCUGUCGCCAAUUGAAAAUGUAUGGCGCAUUAUGAAGCACAAAUACGACAACAGAGACCCCGGGCUGUUGAACACCUGAAGUCGUACAUAAGCACGAAUGGGAAAGAAUUCCAUCUACAAAGCUUCAACAAAUUAGUGUCCUCAGUUCC
Thalassophryne amazonica is the source of this 335-nucleotide long non-coding RNA. RefSeq lists it as uncharacterized. The transcript has 3 exons. NCBI's taxonomy places the organism in Eukaryota, Metazoa, Chordata, Actinopteri, Batrachoidiformes, Batrachoididae. The record is from RefSeq and is a predicted model, not a curated record.